AAGCCUGAUGCAGCGACGCCGCGUGAGGGAUGACGGCCUUCGGGUUGUAAACCUCUUUCAGCAGGGAAGAAGCGAAAGUGACGGUACCUGCAGAAGAAGCGCCGGCUAACUACGUGCCAGCAGCCGCGGUAAUACGUAGGGCGCGAGCGUUGUCCGGAAUUAUUGGGCGUAAAGAGCUCGUAGGCGGCUUGUCGCGUCGGUUGUGAAAGCCCGGGGCUUAACCCCGGGUCUGCAGUCGAUACGGGCAGGCUAGAGUUCGGUAGGGGAGAUCGGAAUUCCUGGUGUAGCGGUGAAAUGCGCAGAUAUCAGGAGGAACACCGGUGGCGAAGGCGGAUCUCUGGGCCGAUACUGACGCUGAGGAGCGAAAGCGUGGGGAGCGAACAGGAUUAGAUACCCUGGUAGUCCACGCCGUAAACGGUGGGCACUAGGUGUGGGCAACAUUCCACGUUGUCCGUGCCGCAGCUAACGUAUUAAGUGCCCCGCCUGGGGAGUACGGCCGCAAGGCUAAAACUCAAA
This 516-nucleotide ribosomal RNA is filed under the name Streptomyces venetus. RNAcentral describes it as "bacterial SSU rRNA". It matches the Rfam family "Bacterial small subunit ribosomal RNA", at positions 379 to 905 of the family's 1533-position model. The record is from RNAcentral. Lineage: Bacteria; Bacillati; Actinomycetota; Actinomycetes; Kitasatosporales; Streptomycetaceae.